CAGCAGCCACGGUAAUACAGAGGGUGCAAGCGUUAAUCGGAUUUACUGGGCGUAAAGCGUGCGUAGGUGGCUGUUUAAGUCGGAUGUGAAGGCCCUGGGCUUAACCUGGGAACUGCAUUCGAUACUGGAUAGCUAGAGAUCGGUAGAGGGCAGCGGAAUUCCGGGUGUAGCGGUGAAAUGCGUAGAUAUCCGGAGGAACACCGAUGGCGAAGGCAACUGCCUUGGCCUGAUCUGACACUGAGGCACGAGAGCGUGGGUAGCAAACAGGAUUAGAUACCCGCGUAGUCCCUGUCUCUUAUAC
RNAcentral lists this ribosomal RNA (301 nucleotides) under uncultured bacterium. RNAcentral describes it as "partial 16S ribosomal RNA". It matches the Rfam family "Bacterial small subunit ribosomal RNA", at positions 509 to 807 of the family's 1533-position model. The record is from RNAcentral.